This is a long non-coding RNA of Lolium perenne, 613 nucleotides long. RefSeq lists it as uncharacterized. The record is from RefSeq and is a predicted model, not a curated record. NCBI's taxonomy places the organism in Eukaryota, Viridiplantae, Streptophyta, Magnoliopsida, Poales, Poaceae.
GCUUUUAGCACCGGAGGACGCGUCGUCGGUGAUUACAGGAGCAGCCUCGCACCUACUACCAUUGAGGCUUUGAUAUGUCUACAGGAUUGGUUUAAGGCAGCCGACGCUAUGGAAAAUGACGACUAGGAAUUUGUUUUGGAGCUUUCCUUGCAUCAUAACAGUUCAGUCCCAGUUGAGUUGGAGAUGACCUUGAAGAAAUACAAGCAAAGUUCAAGAACAUCAGUUCAGCCAAACAUCAUCGAUCCGGCCACGCUGCUGUUUUGAACAAGGAUGCAAAGAUCUUGAAGAAAAUAUGUUUAUGCUUCUGUGCAAUAUUUAACAAGUCGGAUUGAAUGUAAUACUCUGUUCUGAUGAAGUAGUAUUGUACUGUAGCUAUAACUAGCCUGAAGCUUUUGUAGCUUCUUAAUGCCUGUAGCUUCUGUGUCAAGAAUGUAUAUGGAACUGGAGUGCUCCAGCUCAUGGCUUUGCUUCUAGCCUGCAGCGUCUGCUGUGGGCACAGUUAGAACAACAAUAUGUAUUCCAAAUGUUAAUAUUUUUUCUCCUUUUGGUUUCUUUGGAUGGGAGCUGACUAUUUGGUGUUCUAUAAUAAAAUGUAUUGGUGCUAAAAUGUUAA